CUCCAAAUUCCUUGAAAUUAAUCCCUAAAAACCACUUCUCAAGCUUUAAUCUCUAGAUUUUCUUACUUUAUUCAAGGUAAAUGGAGUGAAUUUGGUGAAUUAUUCAAGUAGAAAAUGGAGAAAACAAAGAGAAGAGAAAGAGAGGCUAAAGGUGAAAUGGAGGAGAAGAAGAUGAAGUUCACGUUAGAUGGAGAGGAAGAGGAAG
This 205-nucleotide long non-coding RNA is filed under the name Jatropha curcas. RNAcentral describes it as "long non-coding RNA (JCUR_LNC002612)". Lineage: Eukaryota; Viridiplantae; Streptophyta; Magnoliopsida; Malpighiales; Euphorbiaceae. The record is from RNAcentral.